GCAAGUCGAGCGGAUUGAUGGGAGCUUGCUCCCAUCAGUCAGCGGCGGACGGGUGAGUAACACGUGGGUAACCUGCCUGUAAGACUGGGAUAACUCCGGGAAACCGGGGCUAAUACCGGAUAACUCAUUUCCUCGCAUGAGGAAAUGUUGAAAGGUGGCUUUUAGCUAUCACUUACAGAUGGACCCGCGGCGCAUUAGCUAGUUGGUGAGGUAACGGCUCACCAAGGCGACGAUGCGUAGCCGACCUGAGAGGGUGAUCGGCCACACUGGGACUGAGACACGGCCCAGACUCCUACGGGAGGCAGCAGUAGGGAAUCUUCCGCAAUGGACGAAAGUCUGACGGAGCAACGCCGCGUGAGUGAUGAAGGUUUUCGGAUCGUAAAACUCUGUUGUUAGGGAAGAACAAGUACCGUUCGAAUAGGGCGGUACCUUGACGGUACCUAACCAGAAAGCCACGGCUAACUACGUGCCAGCAGCCGCGGUAAUACGUAGGUGGCAAGCGUUGUCCGGAAUUAUUGGGCGUAAAGCGCGCGCAGGUGGUUCCUUAAGUCUGAUGUGAAAGCCCACGGCUCAACCGUGGAGGGUCAUUGGAAA
Molecule: ribosomal RNA, 594 nt
Filed under: Bacillus sp. CH190a_5D
Lineage: Bacteria; Bacillati; Bacillota; Bacilli; Caryophanales; Bacillaceae
Description: bacterial SSU rRNA
Rfam family: Bacterial small subunit ribosomal RNA
Source: RNAcentral